AUCGAUUAUCAUAAGUACAUAAUCGAUUAUCUUAGUCCAGAUUUUAGAGGCGUGUUAAAAAACCAUUUUGACAAAAGUAAAUAUGCAUUAUUUAAAAUCAAUUAGCUAUAAAUCAAAUAUGCAUGAUUUUGUAAAAAAUAAUUUUACGAGAGAAGCCAUGUCAUGAGUCAAGUUGUCGGAUCAAGAUCACAAUUAAGAACGACUCAUGUAAGACUAUAAAACUUGGUCUUGAGGUUGAAUCUCGUUGUAUAUCAAUUGUGCGCUUGUUCAAAAACUUAUGUAAUGAAUAUAAAAUGAUAAGCAAUAAAGGAUGCAAGUUUUAGCAAUUGUAUAAUCAGUUCUUGUAUGUUGUUGUACUUAAAAGACUGAAUUG
RNAcentral lists this long non-coding RNA (373 nucleotides) under Nicotiana benthamiana. RNAcentral describes it as "long non-coding RNA (NBEN_LNC018251)". Lineage: Eukaryota; Viridiplantae; Streptophyta; Magnoliopsida; Solanales; Solanaceae. The record is from RNAcentral.